UGGGGAAUAUUGCACAAUGGGAGCAAGCCUGAUGCAGCCAUGCCGCGUGUAUGAAGAAGGCCUUCGGGUUGUAAAGUACUUUCAGCGGGGAGGAAGGCGAUAAGGUUAAUAACCUUGUCGAUUGACGUUACCCGCAGAAGAAGCACCGGCUAACUCCGUGCCAGCAGCCGCGGUAAUACGGAGGGGGCAAGCGUUAAUCGGAAUUACUGGGCGUAAAGCGCACGCAGGCGGUCUGUCAAGUCGGAUGUGAAAUCCCCGGGCUCAACCUGGGAACUGCAUUCGAAACUGGCAGGCUAGAGUCUUGUAGAGGGGGGUAGAAUUCCAGGUGUAGCGGUGAAAUGCGUAGAGAUCUGGAGGAAUACCGGUGGCGAAGGCGGCCCCCUGGACAAAGACUGACGCUCAGGUGCGAAAGCGUGGGGAGCAAACA
RNAcentral lists this ribosomal RNA (427 nucleotides) under uncultured bacterium. Its description in RNAcentral is "partial 16S ribosomal RNA". It matches the Rfam family "Bacterial small subunit ribosomal RNA", at positions 355 to 774 of the family's 1533-position model. The record is from RNAcentral.